RNAcentral lists this long non-coding RNA (2103 nucleotides) under Homo sapiens (human). RNAcentral describes it as "long independently transcribed non-coding RNA 2587 (LINC02587)". Lineage: Eukaryota; Metazoa; Chordata; Mammalia; Primates; Hominidae. The record is from RNAcentral.
AAACUAAAUCUUUUGUUCACCAGCUGCUCAGCUUUUCAGUCUGGGUCUGAGCUGAAACCUGCUGCAAGUCUGACGGUACCAAAUUACAUAUAUAUCUGUCAAAAUGAUGUAGGACCUAAAGUCUCUCUGUAAGUUGAUCCUUUUGACCCCAUGAUUAGGAGCUUCACAAUGUGGUACCACACCUGGAAACCUCCAGAACAAGAUCUCAAGGAAACACAGGAAAUUCCUGAAACAGCAAAACCCCCUAUGUGAAGACGUCUGUUAUUCCUUUGUGUAUCAGGAGCAUCACUGUUAAUUAACUGUUGAUACACUUAAAACAGCUUGGUUGGCAAUGUCCUUUUUGAAUAAAGAAGAGCCAGGUGUGUUUUUCAGGAUGAACUAGACAAUGCUGUCACAAGUUUACCUCUACAUCUUAUUGCCUUGGAAAAAUUUCCUGCAUAUCGUGGCACAAGAUGGUUGGCUCUCCAGGCAGCAGUUGGCGUUGUGAAUCAGUCAUCUCAGCAUGUGUCUCCAAGAUCCCACAGCAGGGGGAAAAAGAGGUGGAGGGUCACAUGCCUGGUGUUACAUACUUUGAGGCAGAGGUGGUAGGUGCCAUUUCUGCUCACAGCUCAUGGACCAGAACAAAGCCAUGCAUACCUGAGAGAGGACCAGAAAAUAUUCUGAAGCAGAUGGCUAUUUGGUGAGCAGUAAAUGUUUCUGUUACAACAGGUCUUGACAAACUUCAAAUGUACUCCUACUAGGCCUACUUCACACCACUAAACUCUGUACUUCCUGUUGCUUGAUGGCAUCUUAUGCUGAUGUUUUCUAUCAUAGUGUCCGGCACAAAACAAGAGCUCAAUACAUAUACUUAAUAGCGCAUUUAGAUCUAAGAGUUUCACUUUAUCAAAAGAUUUUAGUACCUACGUAGCUAUUGGGCCACAUCAGGAAAAUGUAACUGCUUCUACAACUGCAAAGAAAAUUUAACUAAUUGUAUGCUCAUCCCAGCUUCAGGUUUUUGUUUUGUUUUGUUUGCUAGCUUCUUUUUAUUUCAUAAUUUUUGCUUUGUUUUCUGCCCUUGAGCAGAGGUUCAUUUCUAGUUUUCACUGGAAUUAGAACAACAGUUGUGUCCAUAUGCAAUAACAGUGUUUCAAAUUCUUUGGGGAUUUGCCCACAGUGUCUGCAGUCAUAUUGUGACACCAGUUGUGAUGCCAGUCUCUGUAAAUCAGACUUAUUCCCAGUGAGACAUUAUAUAUUUUUGCAGCCAAUACGAUCUAUUUUAUAGCGAUUUAUAGCAUUGUCUCUGAAAAGGAUACUUUGAUUUGUGUCUUGUUUUUGUCAGUUUUCAACACUUUGAUUGUGGCCCAGGUUAAUUAAUAUUUUGUGUCUAGGUUUCCUCAUCUCUAAAAUAAAGAUGUUUAUUUCUAUAGCUUCAUGUUGACAAUUAAAUUAUAUAAUUUAUGUUACUCAACUAGCAAGUAAAUUGAUGUACAGUGUAUUUAUAAAUGAUAGAUACUAUCUUUAUGUUAAUUUUUAUUAUUGUCAUCAUUAUCAUCAAUUUUCAGGUCCGUGUUCUGACUAAAAGGAAGCCACACUCUGUCGAAAACAAGCUUUGUAAGAAAAUUUUGAAGUAUUUACUUAUAUCUAACCAUUCAUUCCACCUUUUCUCCCAAAUAACACUCUAAUAUCUUGAGACAUCUUGUCUAGGGCCAGAUUUCAUAAAUGCUUGUGAGGCAGGAGAAUAAGUUCCAGAGGCAGUUCACACUGCCUAAAGCCAAUUCACACUGACUUCCUAUAACUAAAUCUAAAGGAAAAUCUCAACUUUCCUCGCCCAAGUAACAAAAGAAUCAGAGGUUAUACUCCCUUUGCAACCUGCCCCUUUUCUGCCUGGCAGAUGAAAAAUGAAAAGUACCUAUGACUGGUCCCCUCCCACGACCAGCCAGACUGGUCACGGAUCACUACUUCAUUUACAUAGGGCGUAAACCGAGUAACCAAUGGGAAACCUCUAGAGGGUAUUUAAACCCCAGAAAAUUCUGUAACCGGUGGUCUCCAGCAGGUUGCUCAAUCUUGCUGCCACUCUGUGGGAUGUACUUUUGUUUCAAUAAAUCUGUGCUCUUCCUUCAAAAA